This 262-nucleotide ribosomal RNA is filed under the name Salmonella enterica. Its description in RNAcentral is "partial 23S ribosomal RNA". It matches the Rfam family "Bacterial large subunit ribosomal RNA", at positions 504 to 766 of the family's 2925-position model. RNAcentral also lists the same sequence under 14 other names. Lineage: Bacteria; Pseudomonadati; Pseudomonadota; Gammaproteobacteria; Enterobacterales; Enterobacteriaceae. The record is from RNAcentral.
UGAGGGAAAGGCGAAAAGAACCCCGGCGAGGGGAGUGAAAAAGAACCUGAAACCGUGUACGUACAAGCAGUGGGAGCACAGGUUUACCUGUGUGACUGCGUACCUUUUGUAUAAUGGGUCAGCGACUUAUAUUCUGUAGCAAGGUUAACCGUAUAGGGGAGCCGUAGGGAAACCGAGUCUUAACCGGGCGUUAAGUUGCAGGGUAUAGACCCGAAACCCGGUGAUCUAGCCAUGGGCAGGUUGAAGGUUGGGUAACACUAAC